This 443-nucleotide ribosomal RNA is filed under the name uncultured bacterium. RNAcentral's name for it is "bacterial SSU rRNA". It matches the Rfam family "Bacterial small subunit ribosomal RNA", at positions 355 to 796 of the family's 1533-position model. The record is from RNAcentral.
UCGAGAAUCUUCGGCAAUGGGCGCAAGCCUGACCGAGCGACGCCGCGUGGAGGAUGAAGGCCUUCGGGUUGUAAACUCCUGUCGAGGGGGAACAAGGGGCCGUGCAGAACGGUCCUUGAGUGAUCCCUGGAGGAAGCACGGGCUAAGUUCGUGCCAGCAGCCGCGGUAAGACGAACCGUGCAAACGUUAUUCGGAAUCACUGGGCUUAAAGCGCGUGUAGGCGGUUCGGCACGUCCGUCGUUGAAAUCCCCCGGCUCAACCGGGGAACCGGCGCGGAUACGACCGAACUGGAGGGUGGUAGGGGGAGCCGGAACUUCCGGUGGAGCGGUGAAAUGCGUUGAGAUCGGAAGGAACGCCCGUGGCGAAAGCGGGCUCCUGGACCACACCUGACGCUGAGACGCGAAAGCCAGGGGAGCAAACGGGAUUAGAUACCCCCGUAGUCC